This 253-nucleotide ribosomal RNA is filed under the name uncultured bacterium. Its description in RNAcentral is "partial 16S ribosomal RNA". It matches the Rfam family "Bacterial small subunit ribosomal RNA", at positions 524 to 776 of the family's 1533-position model. The record is from RNAcentral.
UACGGAGGGUGCAAGCGUUAUCCGGAUUCACUGGGUUUAAAGGGUGCGUAGGUGGGCUGAUAAGUCAGUGGUGAAAUCCCCGAGCUUAACUUGGGAACUGCCAUUGAUACUAUCGGUCUUGAAUAUCGUGUAGGUAAGCGGAAUAUGUCAUGUAGCGGUGAAAUGCUUAGAUAUGACAUAGAACACCAAUUGCGAAGGCAGCUUACUUUACGAUCAUUGACACUGAGGCACGAAAGCGUGGGGAGCAAACAGG